Molecule: ribosomal RNA, 253 nt
Filed under: uncultured bacterium
Lineage: Bacteria
Description: partial 16S ribosomal RNA
Rfam family: Bacterial small subunit ribosomal RNA
Source: RNAcentral
GACAGAGGUGCCGAGCGUUAGGCGGAAUCACUGGGCUUAAAGCGUGUGUAGGCGGGCCGUUAAGUGCCCCGUGAAAUCCCCCGGCUCAACCGGGGAACGGCGGGGCAUACUGGCGGCCUUGAGCCACUUAAGGGCAGACGGAACAAGCGGUGGAGCGGUGAAAUGCGUAGAUAUCGUCUGGAACGCCAACGGUGAAAACAGACUGCUGGGAGUGUGCUGACGCUGAGACACGAAAGCCAGGGGAGCAAACGGG